AUUUCUAAUUUAUAUAGUUUAAUAAAAACAUUACAUUUUCAUUGUAAAAUUAAAUUCUACAUUUUUUAA
RNAcentral lists this transfer RNA (69 nucleotides) under Matsudanoeus yuasai. Its description in RNAcentral is "tRNA-Glu". The record is from RNAcentral. Lineage: Eukaryota; Metazoa; Arthropoda; Insecta; Coleoptera; Lycidae.